AUUGAACGCUGGCGGCAGGCCUAACACAUGCAAGUCGAGCGGAUGAAGGGAGCUUGCUCCUGGAUUCAGCGGCGGACGGGUGAGUAAUGCCUAGGAAUCUGCCUGGUAGUGGGGGAUAACGUCCGGAAACGGGCGCUAAUACCGCAUACGUCCUGAGGGAGAAAGUGGGGGAUCUUCGGACCUCACGCUAUCAGAUGAGCCUAGGUCGGAUUAGCUAGUUGGUGGGUUAAAGGCCUACCAAGGCGACGAUCCGUAACUGGUCUGAGAGGAUGAUCAGUCACACUGGAACUGAGACACGGUCCAGACUCCUACGGGAGGCAGCAGUGGGGAAUAUUGGACAAUGGGCGAAAGCCUGAUCCAGCCAUGCCGCGUGUGUGAAGAAGGUCUUCGGAUUGUAAAGCACUUUAAGUUGGGAGGAAGGGCAGUAAGUUAAUACCUUGCUGUUUUGACGUUACCAACAGAAUAAGCACCGGCUAACUUCGUG
This 484-nucleotide ribosomal RNA is filed under the name uncultured bacterium. RNAcentral describes it as "partial 16S ribosomal RNA". It matches the Rfam family "Bacterial small subunit ribosomal RNA", at positions 30 to 507 of the family's 1533-position model. The record is from RNAcentral.